GAGCCCGUAGCUUAGCCUGGUGGAGCACCGGUCUUAUAAGCCGGGGGUCGCGCGUUCAAAUCGCGCCGGGCUCA
Molecule: transfer RNA, 74 nt
Filed under: Nanobdellota archaeon
Lineage: Archaea; Nanobdellati; Nanobdellota
Description: tRNA-Ile
Rfam family: tRNA
About the family: Transfer RNA (tRNA) molecules are approximately 80 nucleotides in length. Their secondary structure includes four short double-helical elements and three loops (D, anti-codon, and T loops).
Source: RNAcentral